Molecule: long non-coding RNA, 602 nt
Filed under: Homo sapiens (human)
Lineage: Eukaryota; Metazoa; Chordata; Mammalia; Primates; Hominidae
Description: non-protein coding lnc-KIAA0100-1:2
Source: RNAcentral
AGCAGAUUUAGCAGAGAGAGGAGGCAGAGGCUGGGAAUGGGAGCAGUAAGCUGUCGGCAGGGGCAGCACACCCAGCAGGGGGAACACACCCGGGUGGCUGUCCCUCACAAGCAGGGUGGCAACAUCCGGGGUCCCUGGGCCCGAGGCUGGAAGAGCCUCUGGACAGGUUUGGGAACCAUCAGGUCAGAUCUGGAAGAACUCUGGGAACUACGGGGGCACCACUAUCUGCACCAGGAAUCCCUAAAGCCAGCCCCAGUACUGGUAGAGAAGCCUCUGCCAGAGUGGCCAGUGCCUCAGUUCAUCAACCUCUUUCUACCAGAGUUUCCCAUUAGGCCCAUUAGGGGGCAGCAGCAGCUGAAGAUUUUAGGCCUCGUGGCUAAAGGCUCCUUUGGAACUGUCCUCAAGGUGCUAGAUUGCACCCAGAAAGCUGUAUUUGCAGUGAAGGUGGUGCCCAAGGUAAAGGUCCUACAGAGGGAUACCGUGAGGCAGUGCAAAGAGGAGGUUAGCAUCCAGCGACAGAUCAACCAUCCCUUUGUACACAGCUUGGGGGACAGCUGGCAGGGAAAACGGCACCUUUUCAUUAGUGAGUGACUGGACUCUCU